GUGACGGGCACCCUCUACCGGGGAUGACACAUUCCCAGAGCUCCUGGGACCAAGAAAAUGGUGGGCACAAUUCCCUGGGCGGAAGGGGACUUCGGGAGACAGUAGCCAAGAUGGCCCCAGCGCACCCCUGGAGGCUCCUGAGCCUCGGAAGCCGGUGACAGCCCAGGAGCGCCAGCGGGAGCGGGAGGAGAAGCGGCGGAGGCGGCAAGAACGAGCCAAGGAGCGGGAGAAACGGCGGCAGGAGCGGGAACGAAAGGAACGGGGGGCUGGGGCCUCUGGGGGCCCCUCCACUGACCCCUUGGCUGGACUAGUGCUCAGUGACAAUGACAGAAGCCUGUUGGAACGCUGGACUCGAAUGGCCCGGCCCCCAGCCCCAGCCCCCACCUCUGUGCCGGCCCCUGCCCCAGUGCCAACGCCA
This 418-nucleotide small RNA is filed under the name Pongo abelii (Sumatran orangutan). RNAcentral describes it as "processed transcript". The record is from RNAcentral. Lineage: Eukaryota; Metazoa; Chordata; Mammalia; Primates; Hominidae.